This 77-nucleotide non-coding RNA is filed under the name uncultured Caproiciproducens sp. Its description in RNAcentral is "Cyclic di-GMP-I riboswitch". It matches the Rfam family "c-di-GMP-I riboswitch aptamer". Rfam says of the family: GEMM was predicted in a large-scale screen for bacterial structured RNA regulatory elements. Genes associated with GEMM are involved in a diverse array of functions, including chemotaxis regulation, signal transduction, secretion and chitin. Lineage: Bacteria; Bacillati; Bacillota; Clostridia; Eubacteriales; Acutalibacteraceae. The record is from RNAcentral.
UUGAAAAUAGCAAACCCAUCGAAAGGCAGGGACGCAAAGCCACGGGUCUAAUGUUUAUGAAGACAGCCGGGUUACCA